CAACAAUAAACUAUCUCAAGGUAAAAAGUUAAUUAUCAUGGAAAUUUGAAGACUGAUUUUCCCAAACUUUCUAAGUUUUAUUCACUUUUAACUAGUCUCUUUUAUUGAAAAAAACAGAAAAUAUCGGGCAGCUCCUGUGGCUCAAGGAGUGGGGCACCGGCCCCAUAUACCAGAGGUGGUGGGUUCAAACCCAGCCCCAGCCAAAAACAAGAAAAAAAAAAAAAGAAAAGAAAAGAAAAUACGGCUCAGUGCCCAUAGCACGGUGGUUACAGCGCCAGCCAAAUACACUGAAGGUGGCGGGUGGCGGGCUCAAACCUGGCCCGGGCCAACUAACCAACAAUGACAACUGCAACAAAAAAGAGCCCAGCAUUGUAGCAGGCACCCGUAGUCCCAGCUACUUGGGAGGCUGAGGCAAGAGUAUUGCUUAAGCCCAAGAGUUUGAGGUUGUUUGACACCAUAGUACUCUACUGAGGGAGACAUAGUGAGACUCUGUCUCAAAAAAAAAAGAAAGAAAGAAAAAGGGAAAAAAAAAAGAAUAAAUUUUCACAUAUUUUAAAUAAAAGAAAAAAUGAUUUUGUAGAAACAAAGUAAAAUUUGUAAAUUAAAAAAUAUUACAGAAGGAGGCACCGUAGCUCAGUGGGCAGGGUGCCAGCCACAUACACGGAGGCUGGUGGGUUAGAACCUGGCUGAGGCCAGCUAAAACAAUAAUGAGAACUACUACAACAACAAGAGCUCGAGGUUGCUGUGAGCUGUUGUGACACCACAGCACUCUACUGAGGGCAACAGAGUGAGACUGUCUCAAUAAAAACAAACAAACAAAAAAAUAAAACCCCUAUAACUGACCACCUCCCUUGAGUUGAACUAAUUUUCAAGGACAUGGAUCACAUGUACGUAUAGAUACAAUAGGCCUGGUUCCUUAUGUUAGCCACCUCUGUAUGUUGAUCAGUUUGUUACAGUUCCUUGGGUGGUCAGCUUACAGAGGUUCUACUGUAUUUAUGUGUCCAUACAGGAGUCAAAAAUAAAUUAAAAAUAGUAGCAGUGAUAUUUAAGAAACUGGAGAAAUUGGUCCUCUGCCACUAUCUUGCUUUCCUUUAAUACGGUGGUGACCGCAGGUCGGAGCAAUCUGUAACCAUGAAGCUGCUAACCAGAGCUGUAUCCUUUUUGAGAUUUUAUUCCCUCAACGUUGCCCCCAAAGUUAAAGCCACAGCUGCCCCUGCAGGAGCACCUCCUCAUCCUCAGGACCUUGAGUUCAUCAAAUUACCGAAUGGUUUAGUGAUUGAUUCCUUGGAAAACUAUGCUCCCGUAUCAAAGAUUGGUUUGUUCAUCAAAACAGGCAGUAGACAUGAGGACUCUAACAAUUUAGGAACCUCUCAUUUGCUGUGUCUUGCAUCCACUUUGACUACAAAAGGAGCUUGCCUUUCAAGAUAACUCGUGGAAUUGAAGCAGCUGGUGGUAAAUUAAGUGUGACUGCAACAAAGGAGAACAUGGUUUACACUGUGGAAUGCCUGAGAGAUGAUGUUGAUAUUCUAAUGGAGUUCCUGCUCUAUGUCACCACAGCACCAGAAUUUCGUUGUUGGGACCUUCAGUCUCAACUAAGGGUUGACAAAGCAACGGCUUUUCAGAAUCCACAGGCUCAAGUCAUUGAAAAUUUGCAUGCUGCGGCUUACCGGAAUGCCUUGGCUAAUUCUUUGUACUGUCUUGACUAUAGGAUUGGAAAAGUGACAUCAGAAGAGUUACAUUACUAUGUUCAGAAUCAUUUUACAAGUGCAAGAAUGGUUUUGGUUGGCCUUGAUGUGAGUCAUCCUAUUCUUAAGCAAAUUGCUGAACAGUUUCUCAUCAUGAGGGGAGGGCUUGGUUUAACUGGUGCUAAGGCCAGAUACCAUGGAGGUGAAAUUCGAGAACAAAAUGCAAACAGUCUUGUCCACGCUGCUCUUGUAGCAGAAAGUGCUGCCAUAGGAAGCACAGAAGCAAAUGCAUUUAGUCUUCUUCAGCAUGUGCUUGGUGCUGGACCACAUGUCAAGAGGGGCAGCAAUGCCACUAGCCUUCCAUACCAGGCUGUUGCCAAGGGAGUUACCAGCCAUUUGAUGUUUCUGCUUUUAAUGCCAGUUACUCAGAUUCUGGACUUUUCGGGAUUUACACUAUCUCCCAGGCUGCAGCUGCUGGAGAUGUUAUCAAGGCUGCCUAUAACCAGAUAAAAACAAUUGCUCAAGGAAGCCUUUCCAAUGCAGAUGUCCAAGCUGCCAGAAACAAGCUGAAAGCUGGAUACCUAAUGUCAGUGGAGUCUUCUGAGGGUUUCCUGGAUGAAGUUGGAUCCCAGGUGUUAGUUGCUGUACGUGCUGGUUCUUACGUGCCACCAUCCACAGUCCUUCAAGAGAUUGAUUCAGUGGCUUAUGAUGAUGUCAUAAAUGCUGCAAAGAAGUUUGUUUCUGGCCGGAAGUCAAUGGCAGCAAGUGGAAAUUUGGGACAUACACCUUUUGUUGAUGAGUUGUAAUACUGAAGCACAUAUUAUAAGAGAGAGCUGAAAGCCUACUAUAUUUACCUUUUCAAUAAGGCAAAAUACUUUAAAGUAUAAAUUAUUUCCAGCUGUUCUAGUCAGUUUAAAUGUUUUAAGUCAUUCUGCUUAAAUGUUAAAAAAAAAAAGAAACUGGAGAAAUUAUUUCUAACCAACAUACAUCCUCCCUAAUACUUUUUUUUUUUUUUUUUGUAGAGACAGAGUCUCACCUUAUGGCCCUUGGUAGAGUGCCAUGGCCUCGCACAGCUCACAGCAACCUCCAACUCCUGGGCUUAAGCGAUUCUCCUGCCUCAGCCUCCUGAGCAGCUGGGACCACAGGUGCCCACCACAACGCCCGGCUAUUUUUUGGUUGCAGUUUGGCCGGGGCCAGGUUUGAACCCGCCACCCUCGGUAUAUGGGGCCGGCACCUUACCGACUGAGCCAUAGGCGCCGCCCCCUCCCUAAUACUUUUAAAUCAUGUCUAGAUUGUAUAUAAUACUAAUACAACAUAAAUGCCAUGUUAGUAGUUGUACUAUGAUGUACAUUACAUUACAAGGGAAAAAGUCUAUACAUGUUCAGUACAGACAUGAGUAUCCUACUAAUUUACACUCUAUUUUACUUAUCUUUGAGCCAAAAUCUCACUGUCACCCUGAGUAGAAUGCCGUAGUGUCAAAGCUCACAGCAACCCCGAAUUCAUGGGUGCGAGCAAUCCUCUUGGCCCACCAUGAUGCCCCGCUAAUUUUUCUAUUUUUAGUAGAAAUGGGGUGUCGUUCUUGCUCAGGCUGAUCUGAAACUCCUGAGCUCAAGGAAUCCACCGGCCUUGGCCUCCCAGAGUGCUAGGAUAAUAGGUGUGAGCCACCAUGCCUGGUCUUUUUACUUUUUUUUUUGUCACCAGGGCUAGAGUGAAGUGGCAUCAUCAUAGCUCACUGUAGCUUCAAACUCCAGGGCUCAAAAAAUCCUUCUGCCUCGCUUUUAGGAUACAUUUGGUUGAAUCCAGGAUGCAAAACCCUCAGAUGCAGAGGGCAUACCUAUAAACCUCACAGCCUAGCCUGCCAAAUAUCUUUGAUUUCUUUUUCUUUCUUUUUUUUGGAGACAGAGUCUCACUACGUUGCCCUCCAUAGAGUACUGUGUCAUCACAGCUCAUGGCAACCUCAAAUUCUUGGGCUUAAGCAAUUCUCCUGCCUCAGCCUCACGAGUAGCUGGGACUACAGACACCUGCCACAACUCCCGGC
Molecule: RNA transcript, 3723 nt
Organism: Nycticebus coucang (slow loris)
Lineage: Eukaryota; Metazoa; Chordata; Mammalia; Primates; Lorisidae
Gene name: cytochrome b-c1 complex subunit 2, mitochondrial-like
Exons: 2
Source: RefSeq, a predicted model, not a curated record